ACGGCAGCAUGAUCUAGCUUGCUAGAUUGAUGGCGAGUGGCGAACGGGUGAGUAAUACAUCGGAACGUGCCCUGUAGUGGGGGAUAACUAGUCGAAAGAUUAGCUAAUACCGCAUACGACCUGAGGGUGAAAGUGGGGGACCGCAAGGCCUCAUGCUAUAGGAGCGGCCGAUGUCUGAUUAGCUAGUUGGUGGGGUAAAGGCCCACCAAGGCGACGAUCAGUAGCUGGUCUGAGAGGACGAUCAGCCACACUGGGACUGAGACACGGCCCAGACUCCUACGGGAGGCAGCAGUGGGGAAUUUUGGACAAUGGGGGCAACCCUGAUCCAGCAAUGCCGCGUGUGUGAAGAAGGCCUUCGGGUUGUAAAGCACUUUUGUCCGGAAAGAAAUCGCACUUACUAAUAUUAGGUGUGGAUGACGGUACCGGAAGAAUAAGGACCGGUCUAUACUACCGUGCCCAGCAGCCCGCGGUAAUACGUAGGGGUCCAAGCGUUAAUCGGAAUUACUGGGCGUAAAGCGUGCGCAGGCGGUUGUGCAAGACCGAUGUGAAAUCCCCCGGGCUUAACCUGGGAAUUGCAUUGGUGACUGCACGGGCUAGAGUGUGUCAGAGGGGGGUAGAAUUCCACGUGUAGCAGUGAAAUGCGUAGAGAUGUGGAGGAAUACCGAUGGCGAAGGCAGCCCCCUGGGAUAACACUGACGCUCAUGCACGAAAGCGUGGGGAGCAAACAGGAUUAGAUACCCUGGUAGUCCACGCCCUAAACGAUGUCAACUAGUUGUUGGGGAUUCAUUUCCUUAGUAACGUAGCUAACGCGUGAAGUUGACCGCCUGGGGGAGUACGGUCGCAAGAUUAAAACUCAAAGGAAUUGACGGGGACCCGCACAAGCGGUGGAUGAUGUGGAUUAAUUCGAUGCAACGCGAAAAAACCUUACCUACCCCUUGACAUGCCACUAACGGAAGCAGAGAUGCAUUACGGUGCUCGAAAGAGAAAAGUGGUACAGCAAGGCUGCUGCCAUCGGCUUGCUCGUUCAGCUUCGUCGUUCGUCGAGAUGUUGGGUUAAGUCCCGCAACGAGCGCAACCCUUGUCUCUAGUUGCUACGAAAGGGCACUCUAGAGAGACUGCCGGUGACAAACCGGAGGAAGGUGGGGAUGACGUCAAGUCCUCAUGGCCCUUAUGGGUAGGGCUUCACACGUCAUACAAUGGUGCAUACAGAGGGUUGCCAAGCCGCGAGGUGGAGCUAAUCCCAGAAAAUGCAUCGUAGUCCGGAUCGUAGUCUGCAACUCGACUACGUGAAGCUGGAAUCGCUAGUAAUCGCGGAUCAGCAUGCCGCGGUGAAUACGUUCCCGGGUCUUGUACACACCGCCCGUCACACCAUGGGAGUGGGUUUUGCCAGAAGUAGUUAGCCUAACCGUAAGGAGGGCGAUUACCACGGCAGG
This 1433-nucleotide ribosomal RNA is filed under the name Ralstonia insidiosa. RNAcentral's name for it is "bacterial SSU rRNA". It matches the Rfam family "Bacterial small subunit ribosomal RNA". The record is from RNAcentral. Lineage: Bacteria; Pseudomonadati; Pseudomonadota; Betaproteobacteria; Burkholderiales; Burkholderiaceae.